GACGGAUUCCAGACAAAUGGAGAAUGUGCAUAUGCAUUAGUAAUUCAGAGAAGUAUUUGCCUAGAGACGAAAAUGUGGCGCAGUUCAACUGUACCGGACUGAUCCGAAACAACAACACCUUCGUUUCAGCCAGCGGCUACCAUCUCAGCGCAUAAAUAACGUCAUGUAAUACCGAUUUGUCUCGGUGCAGGGGGUGCAGAGAAUGGCUGCACUGGAUGAGAACACAGCUGAAUGUGCGUGUCGAGGGACAUUUUAUGCCAACUACGAAUCAGCCUAAGAUCCAUGUUCAAGAGUCCGCGUAAGCCAUCUGUAGGGGAAAGGUCCUCAAUCCGCCGGCCGGCAGUACUUGCAGUUGAAGAAUAUCCAGACCUGCAAUAAUGCUGCCCUGGGAACUACGCCAGGCAGCCUCCUCAUGAUACCAUUGGACCACCUACAUGAGGAGGCGAACGUCCUUCCCGUACGUCAGCAAUAUCAUAGACAGAAAAGGAAAAAAUACGAACAUUUAUGCGCUGAGAUGGUAGCCGCUGGCUGAAACAAAGAUGUUGUUGUUUCGGAUCAGUCCGGAACAGUUGAAUGCGCCGCCGUUGCUAUUUUUAUUUGGUCUGGAAACCGUCUGUUACUUUUUGAUAGACAACUUGGCCUGGCAUAUUCAAUAAAUUUUUUAAAUUUGUGACGUUUAAUCAAA
Molecule: long non-coding RNA, 685 nt
Organism: Musca domestica (house fly)
Lineage: Eukaryota; Metazoa; Arthropoda; Insecta; Diptera; Muscidae
Exons: 2
Source: RefSeq, a predicted model, not a curated record